Molecule: transfer RNA, 74 nt
Filed under: Listeria monocytogenes
Lineage: Bacteria; Bacillati; Bacillota; Bacilli; Caryophanales; Listeriaceae
Description: tRNA-Arg
Rfam family: tRNA
About the family: Transfer RNA (tRNA) molecules are approximately 80 nucleotides in length.
Source: RNAcentral
GCGCCCAUAGCUCAACUGGAUAGAGAACUUGACUACGAAUCAAGCGGUUAGAGGUUCGACUCCUCUUGGGCGCA